RNAcentral lists this ribosomal RNA (1367 nucleotides) under uncultured bacterium. RNAcentral describes it as "bacterial SSU rRNA". It matches the Rfam family "Bacterial small subunit ribosomal RNA". The record is from RNAcentral.
AGUUUGAUCCUGGCUCAGGACGAACGCUGGCGGCGCGCCUAACACAUGCAAGUCGAACGAGCGAGAGAGAGCUUGCUUUCUCGGCGAGUGCGGACGGGUUAAUAAACGGUUGAGGCACUCCCUUAAAAGAGGGGGCAACAAGUUGGAAAAGGUUUUUUAUACCCGAAUAACCCCAGGGUUGGGCAUGGGCAGGAGGAAAAGGGCCAUUCCCUUUUGAGAUGCCUCCGGUCCGAUUAACUAGUUGGUGGAGGAACGGCCCCACCAAGGCAACGAUCGGUACCCGGACUGAGAGGUUGAACGGCCCAAUUGGGGAUUGAGACACGGCCCAGACUCCUACGGGAGGCAGCAGUGGGGAAUAUUGCACAAUGGGGGAAACCCUGAUGCAGCGACGCCGCGUGGAGGAAGAAGGUCUUCGGAUUGUAAACUCCUGUUGUUGAGGAAGAUAAUGACGGUACUCAACAAGGAAGUGACGGCUAACUACGUGCCAGCAGCCGCGGUAAAACGUAGGUCACAAGCGUUGUCCGGAAUUACUGGGUGUAAAGGGAGCGCAGGCGGGAAGACAAGUUGGAAGUGAAAUCCAUGGGCUCAACCCAUGAACUGCUUUCAAAACUGUUUUUCUUGAGUAGUGCAGAGGUAGGCGGAAUUCCCGGUGUAGCGGUGGAAUGCGUAGAUAUCGGGAGGAACACCAGUGGCGAAGGCGGCCUACUGGGCACCAACUGACGCUGAGGCUCGAAAGUGUGGGUAGCAAACAGGAUUAGAUACCCUGGUAGUCCACACUGUAAACGAUGAUUACUAGGUGUUGGAGGAUUGACCCCUUCAGUGCCGCAGUUAACACAAUAAGUAAUCCACCUGGGGAGUACGACCGCAAGGUUGAAACUCAAAGGAAUUGACGGGGGCCCGCACAAGCAGUGGAGUAUGUGGUUUAAUUCGACGCAACGCGAAGAACCUUACCAAGUCUUGACAUCCUGCGACGCACAUAGAAAUAUGUGUUUCCUUUGGGACGCAGAGACAGGUGGUGCAUGGUUGUCGUCAGCUCGUGUCGUGAGAUGUUGGGUUAAGUCCCGCAACGAGCGCAACCCUUAUGGUCAGUUACUACGCAAGAGGACUCUGGCCAGACUGCCGUUGACAAAACGGAGGAAGGUGGGGAUGACGUCAAAUCAUCAUGCCCUUUAUGACUUGGGCUACACACGUACUACAAUGGCGUUAAACAAAGAGAAGCAAGACCGCGAGGUGGAGCAAAACUCAGAAACAACGUCCCAGUUCGGACUGCAGGCUGCAACUCGCCUGCACGAAGUCGGAAUUGCUAGUAAUCGCAGAUCAGCAUGCUGCGGUGAAUACGUUCCCGGGCCUUGCACACACCGCCCGUC